AAGUAUGAAGUAAAAUUUACAUUUAGUUUCGACCUAAAAAUUAGAGUUAUAACUCCUUACUUA
Molecule: transfer RNA, 63 nt
Filed under: Metacanthus pulchellus
Lineage: Eukaryota; Metazoa; Arthropoda; Insecta; Hemiptera; Berytidae
Description: tRNA-Arg
Source: RNAcentral